This is a non-coding RNA of Stegodyphus mimosarum, 73 nucleotides long. The record is from Rfam. NCBI's taxonomy places the organism in Eukaryota, Metazoa, Arthropoda, Arachnida, Araneae, Eresidae.
GCCUUUGUGGUGUAGUGGUCAGCACGCUGGAUGCGUAUUCCAGAGGUCCGUGAUUCGAGUCCCGACAAAGGCA